UCUCUUUUCUUCUUUUUCUAAAAUGAAUCUGGGAGUUUCCUUUAGCCCCUGUUUUGUGGUCGCCUCCCAUACACGUUUUAUCUGUCCGUGGCAUUUUCUUUUAUUUAUUGAAAGCACCGUGUCUUAGAUCAAGUCUUGAGAAACAGAACCUGAGACAAACAUGAAUGUGGUUAAUUGAACGAGCGCUGUGCAGGAAAAGCUGUACUGGAGAGAGGCCUGGCCUGGUGUUCAGAACACAAAUGUGAAAAAUCAGACCGGGAAGAUCACGGGAGGCAGGAAGCAUCUGGUUUGCAGGAGUCUCACUCUGUCACCCAGGCUGGAGUGCAGUGGCGUGAUCUCAGCUGACUGCAAUCUCCACCCAAGUUCAAGAGAUUCUUCUGCCUCAGCCUCCCACGUAGCUGGGACUACAGAGCAUACCAUAGCAGCUUGUGCCUGAGACCUCGACAAAUAUCUGGGGGAUAGAUUGGCUUGCAGAGCACAUUCUGCCUAUAGAAAUGAGUUAGCAAGUUUAGUCAGCCAUUGUAGAUUUCAAAGGGUGAGAAGCCUAGCCAGAGGUUAUAAUAUAGCA
Molecule: long non-coding RNA, 568 nt
Organism: Homo sapiens (human)
Lineage: Eukaryota; Metazoa; Chordata; Mammalia; Primates; Hominidae
Source: Ensembl